UACGUAGGAUCCAAGCGUUAUCCGGAAUCAUUGGGGUUAAAGGGUCCGUAGGCGGGACAAUAAGUCAGUGGUGAAAGUCUGUGGCUCAACCAUAGAAUUGCCAUUGACACUGUUGUCCUUGAGUUAUUGUGAAGUGGUUGGAAUAUGUAGUGUAGCGGUGAAAUGCAUAGAUAUUACAUAGAAUACCGAUUGCGAAGGCAGGUCACUAAUAAUUUACUGACGCUGAUGGACGAAAGCGUAGGUGGCGAACAGG
This 253-nucleotide unclassified non-coding RNA is filed under the name uncultured Flavobacteriaceae bacterium. RNAcentral describes it as "contains 16S-23S intergenic spacer region". It matches the Rfam family "Bacterial small subunit ribosomal RNA", at positions 524 to 776 of the family's 1533-position model. Lineage: Bacteria; Pseudomonadati; Bacteroidota; Flavobacteriia; Flavobacteriales; Flavobacteriaceae. The record is from RNAcentral.